Molecule: long non-coding RNA, 503 nt
Organism: Mytilus trossulus (common blue mussel)
Lineage: Eukaryota; Metazoa; Mollusca; Bivalvia; Mytilida; Mytilidae
Exons: 4
Source: RefSeq, a predicted model, not a curated record
GAUACUUAUAUAGGAAGAUAUUUUGACAUGACUUUUGGAAGUUUGUCCAUUUCAUUAAGUUAAGAGACAGCUGGGUAGACUUAAGAAGUUUGUUCAAAAGAUCAUAUCAUCAUGAUGGCCUUUUUUAUUCCAAUGAUUUCGACCUUGGGAUUGUUGAUAAGUAUGGUCCAAGGACAGAUUCCUGAAUAUUACGAUGGUAACAGUAUUCUUGCCCCUGGAGGUUUAUUACCAUCCGACGGUAUUUCCUGGGUUGAAACGACUGUGUUUGGUGCAGUGGUACUGUGUUUGUUGUUCUGUGGCAACAACGACAACAACAGCGGAACUAGCGGAGAUAACCCCGCCCCAGAGAGCUAAACGUCAACUUCCUUGUGACAUAAAACAAAGAAAAGAAAAGAAGGCGAUGUGUUUUGUCAUCUCAAUAAAGCAGUUAUAAUAAUUCAUCAAUGGUCAUAUUUGUAUUCAAUAAAUUAUUAUGCACAUACAUUAACCAUGCAUCGUUAUUC